AACGAACGCUGGCGGCAUGCCUAACACAUGCAAGUCGAACGAAACCUCCGGGUUUAGUGGCGCACGGGUGCGUAACGGGUGGGAACCUGGUCUUAGGUCCGGAAAAUCCCCCCGAAACGGGUGCAAAAUCCGGAUAAGGACUUUGGUCCAAGGUAUUAUCGCCUUUGGCUGGGGCCGCGUUGGAUUAGCUAGUUGGUAGGGUGAUUGCCUACCAAGGCGAGGAUCCUUAGCUGGUCGGUGAGGUAGAUCACUGACACUGAGACUUAGAGGCGGCGGGGACUCCUACGCGAGGCAGGAGUGGGGAAUAUUGGACAAGCGACGGAGGGAUGAUGCAGCACGGCCGGGUGAGUGAUGAAGGCCUUAGAGUUGUGGAACUCUUUUACCCGGGAUGAUAAUGACGGUACCGGGAGAAUAAGCUCCGGCUAACUCCGUG
Molecule: ribosomal RNA, 433 nt
Filed under: uncultured bacterium
Lineage: Bacteria
Description: partial 16S ribosomal RNA
Rfam family: Bacterial small subunit ribosomal RNA
Source: RNAcentral